RNAcentral lists this ribosomal RNA (465 nucleotides) under uncultured Klebsiella sp. RNAcentral's name for it is "bacterial SSU rRNA". It matches the Rfam family "Bacterial small subunit ribosomal RNA", at positions 338 to 795 of the family's 1533-position model. The record is from RNAcentral. Lineage: Bacteria; Pseudomonadati; Pseudomonadota; Gammaproteobacteria; Enterobacterales; Enterobacteriaceae.
CCUACGGGAGGCUGCAGUGGGGAAUAUUGCACAAUGGGCGCAAGCCUGAUGCAGCCAUGCCGCGUGUGUGAAGAAGGCCUUCGGGUUGUAAAGCACUUUCAGCGGGGAGGAAGGCGGUGAGGUUAAUAACCUUAUCGAUUGACGUUACCCGCAGAAGAAGCACCGGCUAACUCCGUGCCAGCAGCCGCGGUAAUACGGAGGGUGCAAGCGUUAAUCGGAAUUACUGGGCGUAAAGCGCACGCAGGCGGUCUGUCAAGUCGGAUGUGAAAUCCCCGGGCUCAACCUGGGAACUGCAUUCGAAACUGGCAGGCUAGAGUCUUGUAGAGGGGGGUAGAAUUCCAGGUGUAGCGGUGAAAUGCGUAGAGAUCUGGAGGAAUACCGGUGGCGAAGGCGGCCCCCUGGACAAAGACUGACGCUCAGGUGCGAAAGCGUGGGGAGCAAACAGGAUUAGAUACCCGAGUAGUC